RNAcentral lists this unclassified non-coding RNA (436 nucleotides) under fungal sp. RNAcentral describes it as "partial internal transcribed spacer region". The stretch from base 1 to 46 matches the Rfam family "Eukaryotic small subunit ribosomal RNA", at positions 1786 to 1831 of the family's 1831-position model. The record is from RNAcentral. Lineage: Eukaryota; Fungi.
AAGUCGUAACAAGGUCUCCGUAGGUGAACCUGCGGAGGGAUCAUUAACACGAAUACACUAAGAGAUCGUUAAACAUUUCUUAGUCGUUUCAAAACAACAACCAAACUCGUGAACUCGAAUUCCUAAUAGAAUUCAUUCCGCCCCUUUUGUAGACGUUAACAAAGAGAAAUUAUAUCGCUUGCGUGUUUAUACCUAUCAAUAAAUGUGAUGGUAUUAUAGAAAUAUAAUACUUAUUGAUAAUCAUAAACUGAUAUUCUUCUUUCGUUCUAUGAUCGGACCCAUACUUUUUUGCAUCACAAGAAAACCAUACAAACCUAUUUCACCCUAACCAUAUAAACAUUGACUGAUUUUUGUUUUUUUGGAAACUUAAAAACAUUAAACUCGAUAUCAUCGAAAACUAAAAGCACAACUCUUAGCAACGGAUAUCUUGGUUCUC